This 19-nucleotide microRNA is filed under the name Echinococcus granulosus. Its description in RNAcentral is "egr-miR-184-5p". Its record names the gene egr-miR-184-5p. RNAcentral also lists the same sequence under 1 other name. The record is from miRBase by way of RNAcentral. Lineage: Eukaryota; Metazoa; Platyhelminthes; Cestoda; Cyclophyllidea; Taeniidae.
ACCUAUCACACUUCAGUCC